CUAAACCUUCUGGCUUUUCUUUUUUCUUUUGGUUUUUAAAAAAAAUGUUGGUUUUUUAAAAUGUUUUUCUCCUCCUGUUAUAAUUCUCUUGCAGUAGUGAUUUUUUCUUCUUCUUUUUUUUUUUGGUCUUUGCCGAAAAAGAGCAGAACUACUGGUACAUUGAAAAAUAUUCUUGAGUAUUCUUUGAGGUGUGAGGUCACUUUCCACUUGAGUAUUCUUUGAGGUGUGAGGUCACUUUCCACUUGAGUAUUCUUUGAGGUGUGAGGUCACUUUCCACUUGAGUAUUCUUUGAGGUGUGAGGUCACUUUCCACUUGAGUAUUCUUUGAGGUGUGAGGUCACUUUCCACUUGAGUAUUCUUUGAGGUGUGAGGUCACUUUCCACUUGAGUAUUCUUUGAGGUGUGAGGUCACUUUCCACUUGAGUAUUCUUUGAGGUGUGAGGUCACUUCCACAUUUUGUUAGGAGGUGGAAUUUGCCAUUUGUUUUGUUCAAGUCAGUGUAGACAAUCAUAGAAAUCCUCUUGUGACCUUUGUACCUAACCUAAGGGGGGUAGUACAGUUGUUUGACUGUUUCCAUAUGUCUGUAUGGUUGUAUUGUUUUUGCUAAUCAAAUUUUUUUUAAAUAUUUGUUUGUUUGUAUUGUUGGCCUGCAUUAUAUUCAUAUACCUUAGCUCAAUGACAAAUUAUCUAAUUUCUGAGAUAGCUCGUCUCACGUCUGCGAAAUUUUCCUGGAGCAUAACUUGCAACAUCAUGUCUUAAGAUUGUGUUUUUCCCAUCACAGUUAAUAAUUAACAGAUGGGUAGGUAUUCUGAAAUCUCUAGUUCAUUACCUUAUCAUCUCACUGAUUUUGACUUUUCAGCGUGAACUUCCAAAUUGCUCCAUGGUUAUCAUGCAGGAAAAGUCGUCUCUGCCUGUACAAAGCAAAAGAUUUAUGUUGAGUGCACAUGUGCAGUAAAACUUUGUGGGAACGGAUUGAGACCAGAACAUUCAAAUCAUUUCGGUGACUUGAGUUUCCUCCUAACAGAUGUUUCCUGAACUUGCCCAGUGCCUCCACACACACGUGUCAGGACUCAGUGCUGUCGUACUCUGACAAAACUCCUUUUUCUUAUUCACUGCAGUUUUGAGAAAUCAAUGAUUUUCAGUUUUCUUAUAAUAAUAGGCCUUUUGCCAUCUCUUGAGCACAGGGAAUGACAUUUCUUUUCAGGGUUCGAGAUCAACCGUUGAUGUACUGGGCCGGAGCCGUACUGGGCAAACUAGUUUCAAUGUUAUCAGAAAAACGAAAAAAGCUGAUUUCUCGAAAGUGCUGUGAAUAAGAAAAAGGCGUUUUGUCAGAGUACGGCAGAGUGGAAUCAGAGGCUUGUCAAUUUUGUCGACAUAUAUGGAGUCAAUGGUAGCGUCUUAAAGCUUGUUCAUUUGUCUUAAUUUUGAUGGGGAAAAAAAGCCUCCUACCUAUCUAUCUUGACUAGAAGUUAAACUAUUUGCUGUUUGAAUGAGGUAAGGUGGGUGGCUUAGUGUCGGAGGUAAAAAUACAGAAAAAUUGGACGCUAGUUGGAAGCCAAAGUUUGGUGAAUUCCAAAGCUUGAGUGUCCUUGGAAAGUUGCAAAUGUACUUUUUAUUUUAUUGUGCCUUUCAUCCAUGUUUUUCAGUAAUAUCCACUCAAAUCUGUAUUUUGGUGUUUUUUUUUCAAUGAAUUGAAAUGGUGGUGAUCCCCAUCCCUCAAAACUGGAUAGACACUACCCAAUGGACGUAAAAAUGUCGGUAACUUUGAUUUCAUUAUUUGGACGAGUGCCUGAUUUCACCACCAUGUCAUGCAUUUUUUCUAUUCAUUUUGCCAAGACGGUUGGGAAACGAUUGUGUUUUCUUACUCUGACUAUA
This is a long non-coding RNA of Aplysia californica (California sea hare), 1873 nucleotides long. RefSeq lists it as uncharacterized. NCBI's taxonomy places the organism in Eukaryota, Metazoa, Mollusca, Gastropoda, Aplysiida, Aplysiidae. The record is from RefSeq and is a predicted model, not a curated record. The transcript is spliced from 2 exons.